RNAcentral lists this ribosomal RNA (484 nucleotides) under uncultured bacterium. Its description in RNAcentral is "partial 16S ribosomal RNA". It matches the Rfam family "Bacterial small subunit ribosomal RNA", at positions 30 to 507 of the family's 1533-position model. The record is from RNAcentral.
AUUGAACGCUGGCGGCAGGCCUAACACAUGCAAGUCGAGCGGAUGAAGGGAGCUUGCUCCUGGCUUCAGCGGCGGACGGGUGAGUAAUGCCUAGGAAUCUGCCUGGUAGAGGGGGAUAACGUCCGGAAACGGGCGCUAAUACCGCAUACGUCCUGAGGGAGAAAGUGGGGGAUCUUCGGACCUCACGCUAUCAGCUGAGCCUAGGUCGGAUUAGCUAGUUGGUGGGGUAAAGGCCUACCAAGGCGACGAUCCGUAACUGGUCUGAGAGGAUGAUCAGUCACACUGGAACUGAGACACGGUCCAGACUCCUACGGGAGGCAGCAGUGGGGAAUAUUGGACAAUGGGCGAAAGCCUGAUGCAGCCAUGCCGCGUGUGUGAAGAAGGUCUUCGGAUUGUAAAGCACUUUUAGUUGGGAGGAAGGGCAGUAAGUGAAUCCCUUGCUGUUUUGACGUUACCAACAGAAUAAGCACCGGCUAACUUCGUG